UUGACUACAAUGUUUUUUG
Molecule: small nuclear RNA, 19 nt
Filed under: Arabidopsis thaliana (thale cress)
Lineage: Eukaryota; Viridiplantae; Streptophyta; Magnoliopsida; Brassicales; Brassicaceae
Description: snRNA_18941
Source: RNAcentral